GAUGAACGCUAGCUACAGGCUUAACACAUGCAAGUCGAGGGGAAACGAUAUUGGAAGCUUGCUUCCGAUAGGCGUCGACCGGCGCACGGGUGAGUAACGCGUAUCCAACCUGCCCAUCACUUGGGGAUAACCUUGCGAAAGUAAGACUAAUACCCAAUGACGUCUCUAGAAGACAUCUGAAAGAGAUUAAAGAUUUAUCGGUGAUGGAUGGGGAUGCGUCUGAUUAGCUUGUUGGCGGGGUAACGGCCCACCAAGGCGACGAUCAGUAGGGGUUCUGAGAGGAAGGUCCCCCACAUUGGAACUGAGACACGGUCCAAACUCCUACGGGAGGCAGCAGUGAGGAAUAUUGGUCAAUGGACGAGAGUCUGAACCAGCCAAGUAGCGUGCAGGAAGACGGCCCUAUGGGUUGUAAACUGCUUUUAUAAGGGAAUAAAGUGAGUCUCGUGAGACUUUUUGCAUGUACCUUAUGAAUAAGGACCGGCUAAUUCCGUGCCAGCAGCCGCGG
RNAcentral lists this ribosomal RNA (505 nucleotides) under uncultured bacterium. RNAcentral's name for it is "bacterial SSU rRNA". It matches the Rfam family "Bacterial small subunit ribosomal RNA", at positions 28 to 520 of the family's 1533-position model. The record is from RNAcentral.